RNAcentral lists this ribosomal RNA (425 nucleotides) under Distigma sp. Its description in RNAcentral is "partial small subunit ribosomal RNA". It matches the Rfam family "Eukaryotic small subunit ribosomal RNA", at positions 587 to 975 of the family's 1831-position model. Lineage: Eukaryota; Euglenozoa; Anisonemea; Natomonadida; Distigmidae. The record is from RNAcentral.
AGCUCCGUUAGUGUAUUCAAAAGUUGUUGCUGUUAAAACGCUCGUAGUCGAAACUGGACGCUGCCCGAACUGUCCGUCCUUGUGGCGUGCACGGUCUGGGCGACGUCUCUGUAUGCGCGUCGCUUCGGUGGCGAGCAUACCUUUUACCUAAAGGAAAUCGGAUCGCUCCAAGAAGGCCUUUGGCCAUGGACGCUUCAGUUUGGAAUAAUGAAAAAUGACAAAACUCAUUUUCAUCGGUUCUUUGAGAUUUGUAAUGGUGCGUCUUCUGCCCAAACCCUCUGCCCUCCGACCUCUAGCAGAAACUAACUCCCACGCAGAUUAAUGGGAACGGUUGGGGUUGUCUGUACUUCCUGGUUAGAGGUGAAAUUCAGUUAUCCAGGAAAGACAAACUACUGCGAAGGCAUUCAACCGGGACGUUUCCGUCA